Molecule: ribosomal RNA, 955 nt
Filed under: uncultured bacterium
Lineage: Bacteria
Description: bacterial SSU rRNA
Rfam family: Bacterial small subunit ribosomal RNA
Source: RNAcentral
GUAGCAAUACCUGCUGGCGAGUGGCGCACGGGUGCGUAACACGUAUGCAACCUACCCUAUACUGGGGCAUAACCUUUAGAAAUGAGGGCUAAUACUCCAUGUAAUUAUCUUAAGGCAUCUUUAGAUAAUUAAAGAUUUAUCGGUAUAGGAUGGGCAUGCGUCCCAUUAGUUAGUUGGUAAGGUAACGGCUUACCAAGACUGUGAUGGGUAGGGGUCCUGAGAGGGUUCACCCCCACACUGGUACUGAGACACGGACCAGACUCCUACGGGAGGCAGCAGUAAGGAAUAUUGGGCAAUGGGCGAGAGCCUGACCCAGCCAUGCCGCGUGCAGGAAGACGGCCCUAUGGGUUGUAAACUGCUUUUAUACGGGAAUAAAGUUGGGUAUGUAUACUCAUUUGCAAGUACUGUAUGAAUAAGCAUCGGCUAACUCCGUGCCAGCAGCCGCGGUAAUACGGAGGAUGCGAGCGUUAUCCGGAUUUAUUGGGUUUAAAGGGUGCGCAGGCGGAUAUAUAAGUCAGUGGUGAAAUUCCUGGGCUCAACCGAGGGACUGCCGUUGAUACUGUAUAUCUUGAGUGUAGUGGGCGUUGGCGGAAUGUGUCAUGUAGCGGUGAAAUGCAUAGAGAUGACACAGAACACCGAUAGCGAAGGCAGCUGACGAUACUUACACUGACGCUCAUGCACGAGAGCGUGGGGAUCAAACAGGAUUAGAUACCCUGGUAGUCCACGCUGUAAACGAUGAUCACUAGCUGUAGGCGAUACACUGUCUGUGGCUAAGCGAAAGCGAUAAGUGAUCCACCUGGGGAGUACGUUCGCAAGAAUGAAACUCAAAGGAAUUGACGGGGGCCCGCACAAGCGGAGGAGCAUGUGGUUUAAUUCGAUGAUACGCGAGGAACCUUAUCUGGGCUUGAACGUAUGGUGCAUUAUGGAGAAAUUCAUAUUUCUAGCAAUAGACUUC